GGGGGAAUAUUGGACAAAGGGCGCAAGCCUGAUCCAGCCAUGCCGCGUGAGUGAUGAAGGCCCUAGGGUUGUAAAGCUCUUUCACCGGUGAAGAUAAUGACGGUAACCGGAGAAGAAGCCCCGGCUAACUUCGUGCCAGCAGCCGCGGUAAUACGAAGGGGGCUAGCGUUGUUCGGAUUUACUGGGCGUAAAGCGCACGUAGGCGGACUUUUAAGUCAGGGGUGAAAUCCCGGGGCUCAACCCCGGAACUGCCUUUGAUACUGGAAGUCUUGAGUAUGGUAGAGGUGAGUGGAAUUCCGAGUGUAGGAGUGAAAUUCGUAGAUAUUCGGAGGAACACCAGUGGCGAAGGCGGCUCACUGGACCAUUACUGACGCUGAGGUGCGAAAGCGGGGGGAGCAAACAGG
RNAcentral lists this ribosomal RNA (404 nucleotides) under Actinomycetes bacterium. RNAcentral's name for it is "Actinobacteria bacterium partial 16S ribosomal RNA". It matches the Rfam family "Bacterial small subunit ribosomal RNA", at positions 355 to 776 of the family's 1533-position model. Lineage: Bacteria; Bacillati; Actinomycetota; Actinomycetes. The record is from RNAcentral.